UCGAGCGGAAUUUUAUUGGGUGCUUGCACCUUUAAAAUUUUAGCGGCGGACGGGUGAGUAACACGUGGGUAACCUACCUUAUAGAUUGGGAUAACUCCGGGAAACCGGGGCUAAUACCGAAUAAUACUUUUUAACACAUGUUUUGAAGUUGAAAGACGGUUUCGGCUGUCACUAUAAGAUGGACCCGCGGCGCAUUAGCUAGUUGGUGAGGUAACGGCUCACCAAGGCAACGAUGCGUAGCCGACCUGAGAGGGUGAUCGGCCACACUGGGACUGAGACACGGCCCAGACUCCUACGGGAGGCAGCAGUAGGGAAUCUUCCACAAUGGACGAAAGUCUGAUGGAACAACGCCGCGUGAGUGAAGAAGGAUUUCGGUUCGUAAAACUCUGUUGCAAGGGAAGAACAAGUAGCGUAGUAACUGGCGCUACCUUGACGGUACCUUGUUAGAAAGCCACGGCUAACUACGUGCCAGCAGCCGCGGUAAUACGUAGGUGGCAAGCGUUGUCCGGAAUUAUUGGGCGUAAAGCGCGCGCACGUGGUUCCUUAAGUCUGAUGUGAAAGCCCCCGGCUCAACCGGGGAGGGUCA
RNAcentral lists this ribosomal RNA (586 nucleotides) under bacterium 90-L049659-122-016-B12. RNAcentral describes it as "bacterial SSU rRNA". It matches the Rfam family "Bacterial small subunit ribosomal RNA", at positions 62 to 625 of the family's 1533-position model. The record is from RNAcentral.